This is a long non-coding RNA of Lacerta agilis (Sand lizard), 381 nucleotides long. RefSeq lists it as uncharacterized. The transcript is spliced from 3 exons. Lineage: Eukaryota; Metazoa; Chordata; Lepidosauria; Squamata; Lacertidae. The record is from RefSeq and is a predicted model, not a curated record.
UGACAAACCUGUUCCUCCUUGGAAUUCUGAGCAAGCUCCAGUAUUUACAGUGCUACUGUCAUCACAAAAGGAUCCAUGGGUGAGGCCCAGUGUGGUUACUGAGAUUCCAGCUGAACUUCAGUCAUGAAGAUCCUUCAUUGCCUCUCUGCUGCCAUCUUACUAUUAUUAUGGACUGUUCAAGAAGACAGCCCUGCAGAAGCUGCGCUUCUUACUUGUUCCUCCAUGGGAGGGUACUGCAUUCAGCCAGUCAAUCAGUCCUGCCCUUCGGGUCUACUCCUGGAUGUGCCCUGCCAUUUCAAAAGAGUCUGCUGCUCAAAGAUAGCUGAUUAGCCUUCAUGCGCACCAUCACCCAUCUCACCUGUUCUUCAAAUUGGCUGCUGG